CUUUUACCUCAACUUCGCUUUUCCGUUGUGUCAACUCCAACGACCGUCAAAUGCAUCCCUUCAACCCAGUUUUCGAUUGCUACUGCUGCUAAUGCAGGGUGUGAAUCCACCAGUGGUUGAAGUUCGCGCCACGUCAGCUUGUGCCCGUCGUCGUCGUGAUCUGGAACAUCUUUUAGCCGACGCUGAUUUAGCUAAGGCAUCCAUCGAACCCGCUCAACCAAUCGCCCUCGAAGUGUCUGCUGUUGAACCUGCUGCCGGUGGCUGAUGCGAAGGAAGCGAGUUUCAACCGAACCUGAAAUUGAAUCUUCGCAAUUGAUGAAUCUGUACCGCCUGAAGUCGUACAAGAUGAUCCUACAAAGAAGAUAGGGGCUUGCUUAAUCUGAGCCUCACGACAACCAUAUCGGUGACCGCAGUAACUACGGUGUUCUCUUUCGUUGGCGCUACUAUGAAAAACACUGCCAGUAUCGCAGCUGAUGGCGCGCUGCAAUGCUCUUCCAUCCGGAUUUUUAGUCUGCUAAAAAAUUUUCGAAUAAAGAUCCACCGACUUUUGCUGCGUUUUGCUUUCCAAACCAAGGCGAUUUUCCCCCGUAAUUAUUUGUUUGCUCCAUUUAAUUUAUAUCGACAUGAUUAACCGAUUACGAUGGUAGUGUGUAAUAAUCAGUUAGAGAUUAUCAGAAUACAUGAUUUCAAUAAAAUU
Long non-coding RNA from Daphnia magna, 697 nucleotides. RefSeq lists it as uncharacterized. The record is from RefSeq and is a predicted model, not a curated record. The transcript has 2 exons. Lineage: Eukaryota; Metazoa; Arthropoda; Branchiopoda; Diplostraca; Daphniidae.